GUGAGGAAUAUUGCGCAAUGGAGGCAACUCUGACGCAGCCAUGCCGCGUGCAGGAAGAAGGCGCUACGCGUUGUAAACUGCUUUUAACCGGGAAGAAACCCCAGGACGUGUCCUGGGUUGACGGUACCGGAGGAAUAAGCACCGGCUAACUUCGUGCCAGCAGCCGCGGUAAUACGAAGGGUGCAAGCGUUAUCCGGAUUCAUUGGGUUUAAAGGGUGCGUAGGCGGAGCGUUAAGUCAGUGGUGAAAUCCUGCAGCUUAACUGUAGACUUGCCAUUGAUACUUGCGCUCUUGAGUGCGCUUGAAGUGGGCGGAAUGUGCCGUGUAGCGGUGAAAUGCUUAGAUAUGGCACAGAACACCAAUUGCGAAGGCAGCUCACUAAGGCGAUACUGACGCUGAGGCACGAAAGCGUGGGGAUCGAACAGGAUUAGAUACCCGUGUAGUCC
Molecule: ribosomal RNA, 445 nt
Filed under: uncultured bacterium
Lineage: Bacteria
Description: bacterial SSU rRNA
Rfam family: Bacterial small subunit ribosomal RNA
Source: RNAcentral